GGAGAGAUGUCCGAGUUUGGUCGAAGGAGCACGAUUGGAAAUCGUGUAGGCGCCUAAAACGUCUCGGGGGUUCGAAUCCCCCUCUCUCCGCCA
RNAcentral lists this transfer RNA (93 nucleotides) under Tumebacillus algifaecis. RNAcentral's name for it is "tRNA-Ser". It matches the Rfam family "tRNA". Rfam says of the family: Transfer RNA (tRNA) molecules are approximately 80 nucleotides in length. Their secondary structure includes four short double-helical elements and three loops (D, anti-codon, and T loops). The record is from RNAcentral. RNAcentral also lists the same sequence under 1 other name. Lineage: Bacteria; Bacillati; Bacillota; Bacilli; Caryophanales; Alicyclobacillaceae.